Zea mays is the source of this 811-nucleotide RNA transcript. It is a transcript of the gene named protein-like pseudogene, with no coding region annotated. The record is from RefSeq and is marked validated. The transcript has a single exon. NCBI's taxonomy places the organism in Eukaryota, Viridiplantae, Streptophyta, Magnoliopsida, Poales, Poaceae.
GGAGCUCGCUCGGCCUACAGCUCGCUUGUACCCGGCCGCCGUGUUGUUCCUGUUCGUCUUCAGCGCCUGCCGAGCACCGCCGCUUGGCCAUGGCGCACGGCCAUCCCGUCUGGACCUCCUCCAGCUCCUCCAUCCCCUGUUCCUUGGCGCUCGCCGAGGGCCUCUCCUUCAUCUUCUGUCGCGUCUCAACUCCCAUGGCCGCCUCUAUGCACGAGCUCGCCGGACGCCGCAGCAUAUACUCCCUGCUCGGCCUCCCCGGCGUGCUGCUCCCUCGCCUUGGCGCCCCUGCGAGUUCCUUCUCCCUCGCUCGGUUUCUAACUCGGGCCUCACCGGAUGCCGACACUGCUUCUCUGACCUCGCCUCGACACUCAAUCACUGCAGCACGCCAUGCUGUGUGUGCUACACUAUCAUCGCUCGCUUUCCUCGUCCUCGCCAAUUUUCUUCGUCGUUUCUCGGCUACAACCUCGUCAGCUCCUGUGAGUCGUGCGCGUCUUGUGUUCGGGUCGAGCCCAAGGAUUUUGAGAAAAAGGAAGCUCCAGUGCUUCGGCCGGUGAAAUGAAUAAAAUGGUGGUAGUCAUGGUCCUUGCGAAAUCCGAGAUCGACUUAGUCACUGUUGGGUCUAUGCUUCGUCGCCGAAGGUCUUCUAGGAAGAAGCGGCUUUCGGCUGAAGCUGUUUGUAUGAGAUGGCCGAAGGUUCCUCUUCAUGAAGCUUCGGUAUUACAAACCGACUUAAAGAUAGAAUGACCUUUUAGUCCAUAAAGGUCUGAGUCAAUGUUGUAAAUUUUUAUGAGGGGCAUAAUUGUAAUUCCUC